GGGAAUGUGGCUUAGUGGUAUAGUGAUUGCCUCACAUGCAUGAAGCCCUGGGUUCGAUUCCUCAGUACCA
Molecule: transfer RNA, 70 nt
Filed under: Dipodomys ordii (Ord's kangaroo rat)
Lineage: Eukaryota; Metazoa; Chordata; Mammalia; Rodentia; Heteromyidae
Rfam family: tRNA
About the family: Transfer RNA (tRNA) molecules are approximately 80 nucleotides in length. Their secondary structure includes four short double-helical elements and three loops (D, anti-codon, and T loops).
Source: Rfam by way of RNAcentral